RNAcentral lists this ribosomal RNA (552 nucleotides) under uncultured bacterium. Its description in RNAcentral is "bacterial SSU rRNA". It matches the Rfam family "Bacterial small subunit ribosomal RNA", at positions 209 to 753 of the family's 1533-position model. The record is from RNAcentral.
AAGCUAUCGCCUGAAGAGGGGUUUGCGUCUGAUUAGGUAGUUGGUGAGGUAACGGCCCACCAAGCCGACGAUCAGUAGCCGGUCUGAGAGGAUGAACGGCCACACUGGAACUGAGACACGGUCCAGACUCCUACGGGAGGCAGCAGUGGGGAAUCUUCCGCAAUGGGCGAAAGCCUGACGGAGCAACGCCGCGUGAGUGAUGACGGCCUUCGGGUUGUAAAGCUCUGUGAUCGGGGACGAACGGUCAGCAGACCAAUACUCUGCUGAAGUGACGGUACCCGAAUAGCAAGCCACGGCUAACUACGUGCCAGCAGCCGCGGUAAUACGUAGGUGGCAAGCGUUGUCCGGAAUUAUUGGGCGUAAAGCGCGCGCAGGCGGCUUCUUAAGUCCAUCUUAAAAGUGCGGGGCUUAACCCCGUGAUGGGAUGGAAACUGAGAGGCUGGAGUAUCGGAGAGGAAAGUGGAAUUCCUGGUGUAGCGGUGAAAUGCGUAGAGAUUAGGAAGAACACCGGUGGCGAAGGCGACUUUCUGGACGACAACUGACGCUGAGGCG